UGGCCUCUUCCGGGGUAUUGAAGUAGUUUUUCUACCCUUCAUGUGUUACUUGCAGCCGGGCCUGGUGCAGAAGAGAGUACCGUAUCCCUUUAACUAGAAGAGCUUUCUCAAUACCAUCUGUGGAAGGGCGUGGGGUUCAUUGAACACACAGGAGAGAGAAAGUUUAUUUAUAGGUAUCUAUUCAGUCCAGUUAUAGUGAAAAUACAGGUGCUGAAACAACAUUCAUAACCAGAAGUUGAAGGGAAAAAGGAAAAUAAAAAACACAGUAACAAAACUACAAAUAAAAGGCGCUGCUUCUUACAGAGUCCUGCAGCCUCCGUUUGGCAAGUGGUGAUUCUAUGACCCCUUCAAGUAUCUGUGCCCUUCAUCACCCAAACCUUUCAAGCAAUUAAUAAGGCUCAUUCAUCCAUUGGUAAUUGUAAUCUCUCUGAGAGGUCAGGAGGCAGAUCUUGGGAUCCACCAAUAAAAAUAAUGUGCUGUGACAGGAAAGAGGCAAGGAAAACGACAAGAAGGAGAGAGGAGGAAGACAGCCACGAGACAGCACAAGUUCACGUACCCAGACCAGCAGAUUGACGGUGGCUGGGUCGUACAGAUCAUAGUUAGCUCUGGGGACUUGGGCAACCUGGUGCCAGUAUACUGAGGGAAGACCAAACUAUAAUUAAUGAAUUAAUUCUUGCGUAGAUUAGAGAGGGGAUUGCGAGACCCUCCUGAGAGCAGAACCUUUGUUUGUAGUUUUUCCGUAGUGUUUUGUUUUCUUAUGUUUUGUUCGCCGUUGGAGUAUUAUUAUUAUUAUUAUUUUACAUAACAAAGAGAAACUGUCUGGGCUCCAGAGUGGCACAUCCAAUGAAGGCACUCCACAUGGAGUGCAGGAUGUGCCCUAUAGCCUGGAGGUCACCGGUUCAAGUCCAGGCUAUUCCAUUGCUGACUGUGGACAGGAGAUCCCAGGUGGCAGUACACAACUGGCCCUGCACCACCCGGAUGGGCUUAGGUUGACCAGAGGGUCCUCGGCUCACCACGCACCAGCAACCCCUGUGGACUGGCCGGGCGCCUGCGGGCCUGCAUAUAAGUUGCUCAAAGCUACAUGGUCCUCCAAUGCUGUAGCUCUGAAGUGGCUGCAUGGCAGGCCUGCAGAGUGAAAAGAAGCGGGCAGCUGACAGCGCACGUUUCGGAGGACGCGUGUGUCCAUCUUCAUCUCUCCUGAGUCAGCACGGGGGUGGCAGCGAUGUGUCAGGUUGAAGUAAAAUUGGGGAGAAAAUCAGAAAAAUAAUUGGUUCUAAAUCUUAAAUUUUAAAAAAAACGACAAAAAAAGGUACAUUCCUGGUGUCAUCCCACUGGGGUAAAACAAUAAAAUAAAUUUUGUGCGCCAGAGCGAUGUUUUCAGUGAUCAAUCUCACCACACCUGCCCACAGUAAUCAAAUAUAACACUAUAGUUAACAGCUGCAUACUGAUACCUUUGCUGUCAGUCACAUAGUCUGAUUGUAUUUAGAUCAUUAAAGUGACUAUGAACUACUACACAUGAAGUCCUUAGGUACCAGGAAGCAGCAAAAAUGUUUUUGUCUACAGCACUGUCUUUGAAAUAUUUGCAUUUU
Polyodon spathula (Mississippi paddlefish) is the source of this 1589-nucleotide long non-coding RNA. RefSeq lists it as uncharacterized. The record is from RefSeq and is a predicted model, not a curated record. The transcript is spliced from 3 exons. NCBI's taxonomy places the organism in Eukaryota, Metazoa, Chordata, Actinopteri, Acipenseriformes, Polyodontidae.